GAUCAAAGUGUAGUAUCUGUUCUUAUCAGCUUAAUAUCUGAUACGACCCCCAUCGGGGGUCAAGAUAUUAAUCUUAUUUUUGUCACGGGGCGGAGAGACUGAGGCUUGCUUCACCUCCGCCACGGGUUGGC
This 131-nucleotide small nuclear RNA is filed under the name Metalibitia paraguayensis. Its description in RNAcentral is "partial U2 snRNA". It matches the Rfam family "U2 spliceosomal RNA", at positions 25 to 155 of the family's 192-position model. From Rfam's summary of the family: U2 is a small nuclear RNA (snRNA) component of the spliceosome (involved in pre-mRNA splicing). Complementary binding between U2 snRNA (in an area lying towards the 5' end but 3' to hairpin I) and the branchpoint sequence (BPS) of the intron results the bulging out of an unpaired adenosine, on the BPS, which initiates a nucleophilic attack at the intronic 5' splice site, thus starting the first of two transesterification reactions that mediate splicing. The record is from RNAcentral. Lineage: Eukaryota; Metazoa; Arthropoda; Arachnida; Opiliones; Cosmetidae.